UGAAGGUGAAGGUGAUACUUCUUCUUCUGAUUAAUGGUUCCUAACUGUGUUGAAGACUGGUAAGGUGAAGUCUGUGAGGAGUGCUGGAAAGAGUGAUGGAAGCUGGUCUGCUGUUUGGAAGGCUGAUGUUUUUACUGUUUUUUUGAAAAAUGUAAUGUGUGGCAGUCCUCAUUGAUGCCUGUUUUGUAAUAUUUAGGGCUCUUAAAGAGUUCCUUGGAUUUGUUCAUUAUCUCAGCUAUCACAGUUGUGU
This 250-nucleotide long non-coding RNA is filed under the name Lathyrus oleraceus (garden pea). RNAcentral describes it as "Pisum sativum (pea) long non-coding RNA (PSAT_LNC002024)". The record is from RNAcentral. Lineage: Eukaryota; Viridiplantae; Streptophyta; Magnoliopsida; Fabales; Fabaceae.